UCCUACGGGGGGCAGCAGUGGGGGAUAUUGCCCAAUGGGGGAAACCCUGAUGCAGCGACGCCGCGUGGGCGAAGAAGUAUUUCGGUAUGUAAAGCCCUAUCAGCAGGGAAGAAGAAAUGACGGUACCUGAGUAAGAAGCACCGGCUAAAUACGUGCCAGCAGCCGCGGUAAUACGUAGGGGGCAAGCGUUAUCCGGAUUUACUGGGUGUAAAGGGGGCGCAGACGGCAGCGCAAGCCAGGAGUGAAAGCCCGGGGCCCAACCCCGGGACUGCUCUUGGAACUGCGCGGCUGGAGUGCAGGAGGGG
This 305-nucleotide ribosomal RNA is filed under the name uncultured bacterium. RNAcentral describes it as "bacterial SSU rRNA". It matches the Rfam family "Bacterial small subunit ribosomal RNA", at positions 337 to 657 of the family's 1533-position model. The record is from RNAcentral.